This 429-nucleotide ribosomal RNA is filed under the name Clostridia bacterium TSW06CA6. Its description in RNAcentral is "bacterial SSU rRNA". It matches the Rfam family "Bacterial small subunit ribosomal RNA", at positions 48 to 461 of the family's 1533-position model. Lineage: Bacteria; Bacillati; Bacillota; Clostridia. The record is from RNAcentral.
GUAACACAUGCAAGUCGAACGAGAAUGUACUGACGGAUCCUUAGGGUGAAGAUAGUACAGGACAGUGGCGGAUGGGUGAGUAACGCGUAAGAAACCUGCCUUUCACACCGGGAUAGCAGCUGGAAACGGCUAUUAAUACCGGAUGACACUUUUUCCCCGCAUGAGGAAGAGGUUAAAGAAUUUCGGUGAAAGAUGGUCUUGCGUCUGAUUAGCUAGUUGGUGGGGUAACGGCCUACCAAGGCGACGAUCAGUAGCCGGCCUGAGAGGGUGUACGGCCACAUUGGGACUGAGACACGGCCCAAACUCCUACGGGAGGCAGCAGUGGGGAAUUUUGCACAAUGGAGGAAACUCUGAUGCAGCGACGCCGCGUGAACGAAGAAGGUCUUCGGAUUGUAAAGUUCUGUCCUGGGUGAAGAUAAUGACGUAACU